UACGUAGGGUGCAAGCGUUGUCCGGAAUUAUUGGGCGUAAAGAGCUCGUAGGUGGCCUGUCGCGUCGGCUGUGAAAACUCGGGGCUCAACUCCGAGCUUGCAGUCGAUACGGGCAGGCUAGAGUUCGGCAGGGGAGACUGGAAUUCCUGGUGUAGCGGUGAAAUGCGCAGAUAUCAGGAGGAACACCGGUGGCGAAGGCGGGUCUCUGGGGACCACCUGACGCUGAGGCGCGAAAGCGUGGGGAGCGAACCGG
This 253-nucleotide ribosomal RNA is filed under the name uncultured bacterium. RNAcentral's name for it is "partial 16S ribosomal RNA". It matches the Rfam family "Bacterial small subunit ribosomal RNA", at positions 524 to 776 of the family's 1533-position model. The record is from RNAcentral.